GAAUUUGCAAGGUGGCCUCUUGAAGUCACCAGUGAAGACUGAGACCAGGAGACCAGAAAGAACCACAUCUGCCAGCAACCACCUGCAUCAGUGAAAACAUGGAUCCUUUCUCAGGUACAAGAUAAGAAUAUCAACUUUUCAGAAGAUGGCAUGGUGAGCAGUGGGAACUCAGCCUCUUUGACACUGGGAGACCAGACUCUGGAGAAGAGCAACCGGAGGAAGAGAAGAAAGAGGGAGGUGGAUCCCUGAGACUUAGAAAAUGUCUAAGGGGAGAAGUGGAGCCCAUGAGGAGAGAAAGGUGACGGCCUUAACAUAGAAGAGGGAGGUGGCAAAUUGUACUUUCUCUGUGACUCUCAGGUUAUUGCAGGAGAGAGGAGGCGCCAGUCUACAGAGGUUCAGUGACAGCAAGGAACCCUGGAGGCCUCCCCUGAGAAAUGCCUAGUAGUGGAGCACCGGAUUCAGUGGGCUGCAGUAGCUGGCAUAUGUUGCUCAAUGACAAUGACAGUUACUGAGAAUUGUAUUAGGCUAUUUUAUCAUCACAUGACCAUCAUAGUGAGUAUUGACAGGAGCUAACGUCUUCAACAAUGUGACUAAGCAAUACAAUCUUGUGGGUGCACAGUCACAUAUGCGGUUCAUUGUUGACAUACAGCUUUUGAC
This 657-nucleotide long non-coding RNA is filed under the name Heterocephalus glaber (naked mole-rat). Its description in RNAcentral is "lncRNA (ENSHGLG00100046138.1)". The record is from RNAcentral. Lineage: Eukaryota; Metazoa; Chordata; Mammalia; Rodentia; Bathyergidae.